UAUAUGGUAUACUUCGGCAACUGCAACAUAAACCACAAUAAUAUGAACCCUUCAAUAUUAGGUAUGGACUUAAUAGGUAGGAAUUAAACUUACACUGUUUUUAUAUGGUAUACUUCAGCAACUACAACAUAAGCCACAAAAAUAUGAACCCUUCGAUAAUACAUAGGUUUAAUUUAACCCGAUUACCCCAAACAUAAUCAGUCGAAAAGUCUUAGCCUUUUGGAAAAAUCUACUCAAACUUGUAAAAUUCCUAUAGGAAGGGGUGAUAUUAAACUGUUCCCAUUCACGAUCGCGUUUCAUAAUCAACUACAAAAUAAAAAAAACUUGAAAGGUAGGAUUUAUAAAGAAUUCUAAUUGACUUAAUAGGUAGGAAUUGAACUUACGCUGUUUUUUAUAUGGUAUACGUCGGCAACUACAACAUAAGCCACAAUAAUAUGAACCCUUCAAUAUUAGGUAUGAUUUAUCUCUAUUACCCCAAACAAUAUCAGUCGAAAAGGCUUAGCCUCUUGGUAAAAUCAACUCAAAAUUGUAAAAUCCAUAUAGGUAGGGGUGAUAUUAAACUGUUCCCAUUCACGAUACUUUAGCAACUACAACAUAAACCACUAAAAUAUGAACCCUUCAAUAAUAGGUAUAAUUUAACUGGACUACCCCAAACAUAAUCAGUCGAAAAGUCUUAGCCUCUUGGUAAAAUCUACUCAAAAUUGUAAAAUCCAUAUAGGUAGGGGUGUUAUUAAACUGUUCCCAUUGACGAUCGCGUUUCAUAAUCAACUACAAAAUAAGAAAAACUUAAAAGGUAGGAUUUAAAAAGAAUUCUAAUUGACUUAAUAGGUAGGAAUUGAACUUACGCUGUUUUUUAUAUGGUAUACGUCGGCAACUACAACAUAAGCCACAAUAAUAUGAACCCUUCAAUAUUAGGUAUGAUUUAUCUCUAUUACCCCAAACAAUAUCAGUCGAAAAGGCUUAGCCUCUUGGUAAAAUCAACUCAAAAUUGUAAAAUCCAUAUAGGUAGGGGUGUUAUUAAACUGUUCCCAUUCACGAUACUUUAGCAACUACAACAUAAACCACUAAAAUAUGAACCCUUCAAUAAUAGGUAUAAUUUAACUGGACUACCCCAAACAUAAUCAGUCGAAAAGUCUUAGCCUCUUGGUAAAAUCUACUCAAAAUUGUAAAAUCCAUAUAGGUAGGGGUGUUAUUAAACUGUUCCCAUUCACGAUCGCGUUUCAUAAUCAACUACAAAAUAAGAAAAACUUAAAAGAUAGGAUUUAAAAAGAAUUCUAAUUGACUUAAUAGGUAGGAAUUGAACUUACGCUGUUUUUUAUAUGGUAUACGUCGGCAACUACAACAUAAGCCACAAUAAUAUGAACCCUUCAAUAUUAGGUAUGAUUUAUCUCUCUUACCCCAAACAAUAUCAGUCGAAAAGGCUUAGCCUCUUGGUAAAAUCAACUCAAAAUUGUAAAAUCCAUAUAGGUAGGGGUGAUAUUAAACUGUUCCCAUUCACUAUACUUUAGCAACUACAACAUAAACCACAAUAAUAUGAACCCUUCAAUAUUAGGUAUGAUUUAUCUCUAUUACCCCAAACACUAUCAGUCGAAAAGGCUGUCUCUUGGUAAAAUCAACUCAAAAUUGUAAAAUCCAUAUAGGUAGGGGUGAUAUUAAACUGUUCCCAUUCACGAUACUUUAGCAACUACAACAUAAACCACUAAAAUAUGAACCCUUCAAUAAUAGGUAUAAUUUAACUGGACUACCCCAAACAUAAUCAGUCGAAAAGUCUUAGCCUCUUGGUAAAAUCUACUCAAAAUUUUAAAAUCCAUAUAGGUAGGGGUGUUAUUAAACUGUUCCCAUUGACGAUCGCGUUUCAUAAUCAACUACAAAAUAAGAAAAACUUAAAAGGUAGGAUUUAAAAAGAAUUCUAAUUGACUUAAUAGGUAGGAAUUGAACUUACGCUGUUUUUUAUAUGGUAUACGUCGGCAACUACAACAUAAGCCACAAUAAUAUGAACCCUUCAAUAUUAGGUAUGAUUUAUCUCUAUUACCCCAAACAAUAUCAGUCGAAAAGGCUUAGCCUCUUGGUAAAAUCAACUCAAAAUUGUAAAAUCCAUAUAGGUAGGGGUGAUAUUAAACUGUUCCCAUUCACGAUACUUUAGCAACUACAACAUAAACCACUAAAAUAUGAACCCUUCAAUAAUAGGUAUAAUUUAACUGGACUACCCCAAACAUAAUCAGUCGAAAAGGCUUAGCCUCUUGGUAAAAUCAUCUCCAAAUUGUAAAAUCCAUAUAGGUAGGGGUGAUAUUAAACUGUUCCGAUUCACGAUACUUUAGCAACUACAAAAUAAACCACAAUAAUAUGAACCCUUCAAUGAUAGGUAUAAUUUAUCUCUAUUACCCCAAACAUUAUCAGUCGAAAAGGCUUAGCCUCUUGGUAAAAUCAACUCAAAAUUGUAAAAUCCAUAUAGGUAGGGGUGAUAUUAAACUGUUCCCAUUCACGAUACUUUAGAAACUACAACAUAAACCACAAUAAUAUGAACCCUUCAAUAUUAGGUAUGAUUUAUCUCUAUUACCCCAAACAUUAUCAGUCGAAUAGGCUGACUCUUGGUAAAAUCAACUCAAAAUUGUAAAAUCCAUAUAGGUAGGGGUGAUAUUAAACUGUUCCCAUUCACGAUACUUUAGCAACUACAACAUAAACCACAAUAAUAUGAACCCUUCAAUAUUAGGUAUAAUUUAUCUCUAUUACCCCAAACAUUAUCAGUCGAAAAGGCUUAGCCUCUUGGUAAAAUCAACUCAAAAUUGUAAAAUCCAUAUAGGUAGGGGUGAUAUUAAACUGUUCCCAUUCACUAUACUUUAGCAACUACAACAUAAACCACAAUAAUAUGAACCCUUCAAUGAUAGGUAUAAUUUAUCUCUAUUACCCCAAACAUUAUCAGUCGAAAAGGCUUAGCCUCUUGGUAAAAUCAACUCAAAAUUGUAAAAUCCAUAUAGGUAGGGGUGUUAUUAAACUGUUCCCAUUGACGAUCGCGUUUCAUAAUCAACUACAAAAUAAGAAAAACUUAAAAGGUAGGAUUUAAAAAGAAUUCUAAUUGACUUAAUAGGUAGGAAUUGAACUUACGCUGUUUUUUAUAUGGUAUACGUCGGCAACUACAACAUAAGCCACAAUAAUAUGAACCCUUCAAUAUUAGGUAUGAUUUAUCUCUAUUACCCCAAACAAUAUCAGUCGAAAAGGCUUAGCCUCUUGGUAAAAUCAACUCAAAAUUGUAAAAUCCAUAUAGGUAGGGGUGAUAUUAAACUGUUCCCAUUCACGAUCGCGUUUCAUAAUCAACUACAAAAUAAAAAAACUUUAAAGGUAGGAUUUAU
Long non-coding RNA from Drosophila santomea, 3347 nucleotides. RefSeq lists it as uncharacterized. NCBI's taxonomy places the organism in Eukaryota, Metazoa, Arthropoda, Insecta, Diptera, Drosophilidae. The record is from RefSeq and is a predicted model, not a curated record. The transcript has 6 exons.